This 213-nucleotide microRNA precursor is filed under the name Oryza brachyantha (malo sina). RNAcentral describes it as "MIR812 microRNA precursor family". It matches the Rfam family "MIR812 microRNA precursor family". The record is from Rfam by way of RNAcentral. Lineage: Eukaryota; Viridiplantae; Streptophyta; Magnoliopsida; Poales; Poaceae.
AAAGAGUGCAUUUUUAUACCUUUCGUGUUCAACGUUUAAAUGUCCAUCUUGUUUUAACAAUUUGAUGAUUAUUAGUUUUUAUUGUUGUUAGAUGAUAAAAUAUGAAUAGUAAUAUACGUGUGACUAUAUUUUUCUAAAAAAAUCAUAAACAUGCUAAAUAAAACGAACGGUAAAAUAUUAGACACGGAAAUGUUAACCAAGGCAGUAAUUAAU